GGUUUCAUAGUGUAAUGGUUAGCACGUGAGAUUCUGAUUCUCGAGAUGAGGGUUCAAUUCCCUCUGAGACCU
RNAcentral lists this transfer RNA (72 nucleotides) under Emericellopsis atlantica. It matches the Rfam family "tRNA". Rfam says of the family: Transfer RNA (tRNA) molecules are approximately 80 nucleotides in length. Their secondary structure includes four short double-helical elements and three loops (D, anti-codon, and T loops). Further hydrogen bonds mediate the characteristic L-shaped molecular structure. tRNAs have two regions of fundamental functional importance: the anti-codon, which is responsible for specific mRNA codon recognition, and the 3' end, to which the tRNAs corresponding amino acid is attached (by aminoacyl-tRNA synthetases). tRNAs cope with the degeneracy of the genetic code in two manners: having more than one tRNA (with a specific anti-codon) for a particular amino acid; and 'wobble' base-pairing, i.e. permitting non-standard base-pairing at the 3rd anti-codon position. The record is from Rfam by way of RNAcentral. RNAcentral also lists the same sequence under 1 other name. Lineage: Eukaryota; Fungi; Ascomycota; Sordariomycetes; Hypocreales; Bionectriaceae.